This 660-nucleotide ribosomal RNA is filed under the name Lactiplantibacillus plantarum. RNAcentral's name for it is "bacterial SSU rRNA". It matches the Rfam family "Bacterial small subunit ribosomal RNA", at positions 153 to 799 of the family's 1533-position model. The record is from RNAcentral. Lineage: Bacteria; Bacillati; Bacillota; Bacilli; Lactobacillales; Lactobacillaceae.
GAAACAGAUGCUAAUACCGCAUAACAACUUGGACCGCAUGGUCCGAGUUUGAAAGAUGGCUUCGGCUAUCACUUUUGGAUGGUCCCGCGGCGUAUUAGCUAGAUGGUGGGGUAACGGCUCACCAUGGCAAUGAUACGUAGCCGACCUGAGAGGGUAAUCGGCCACAUUGGGACUGAGACACGGCCCAAACUCCUACGGGAGGCAGCAGUAGGGAAUCUUCCACAAUGGACGAAAGUCUGAUGGAGCAACGCCGCGUGAGUGAAGAAGGGUUUCGGCUCGUAAAACUCUGUUGUUAAAGAAGAACAUAUCUGAGAGUAACUGUUCAGGUAUUGACGGUAUUUAACCAGAAAGCCACGGCUAACUACGUGCCAGCAGCCGCGGUAAUACGUAGGUGGCAAGCGUUGUCCGGAUUUAUUGGGCGUAAAGCGAGCGCAGGCGGUUUUUUAAGUCUGAUGUGAAAGCCUUCGGCUCAACCGAAGAAGUGCAUCGGAAACUGGGAAACUUGAGUGCAGAAGAGGACAGUGGAACUCCAUGUGUAGCGGUGAAAUGCGUAGAUAUAUGGAAGAACACCAGUGGCGAAGGCGGCUGUCUGGUCUGUAACUGACGCUGAGGCUCGAAAGUAUGGGUAGCAAACAGGAUUAGAUACCCUGGUAGUCCAUA